RNAcentral lists this long non-coding RNA (1377 nucleotides) under Mus spicilegus (steppe mouse). RNAcentral's name for it is "lncRNA (ENSMSIG00000019660.1)". Lineage: Eukaryota; Metazoa; Chordata; Mammalia; Rodentia; Muridae. The record is from RNAcentral.
AGCUAGUUACUAUGGAUCUUUCAACACACCAUUCUGGCAAGCUGCAUUAAAAAUAACUUCCCAAGACUGUACAGAAUGCAUAGAGCAAUGGGAGUACAGUCAGCCUCGGAGUCCAGUCUGCCCUGGAGCCUGUUGUUCACAGGGGCUAGGCAAUGAGGAGGAAGAAAGUCGAUGACUUAGUAAACAUCCAGAUUCAGUAUGGGUUUUCAAAGUUUUCUCAAAGAGGAAGUUUCCAGAGAAAAUAGGAGGGAUGGAGUGUGUGUGUGUGUGUGUGUGUGUGUGUGUGUGUGUGCGCGCGCGCGCCCACUGUCAGUCCCACGUCCUGAAGCGUGUGAUGCUUCUUGUGUCAGGAAGCUGCAGCUCCUCUCCUCUGGAUCUUUAUGACCACACCAGGAAGCAUUGUGAUCUGCAGUCACUGCCAACCUGCAGGAUAACACAGCUCGUUCCUCUGGGAACUGCCCUGCAGUGUCUGCAUACAGCCACCCUCAACCUGUCUGCCUGGUCUUUGCAACCUCUAGUGGCUGUUGUUCCACAAUGUGUAGUGAAGAACUUCUGCCCAGAAGCCUGCCUGGACCAGGGACACCAGACAGGUGCCCACCAUAACUGUCAUCUGAGAGGCUUCACUGAGCAAAUAAUGAAAACAGAUGCAGAGACCCACAGCCAGACAUUAAGUGAAGCUUGGGGAAAUCUGUGGAAGAGGAGGAGGAAGGAAUGAAGGAGCAAGAGAAGUCAAGGACACUAAAAGAAAAUCUACAAAAUCAUCUAACCCUGGACCCUUGGAGGCUCACAGAGACUGAACUGGCCAGCCAGAGCGCAUGUAUGGGAAGGACCUAGGACCCCUGCACAUAGGUAACAGCUGUGCAGCCGGGCCUUCAUAUGGGACUCCUAAAGUGGGAGCAGGGGUUGUCUCUGACUCUGUUGCCUGCCUUUCUCCUAACUGGGCUGACUUGUCUAGACACAGUAGAAGAAGAUGCGCCUAGACUUACUGCAACUUGAUGUUCCAAGGCUGGUUGUUAUUCAUGGGAGGCCUCUUCUUUGCUGAGGAGAAAGGAUGGGGGCAGAGGGGGAGGGGACGGGAGAAGGAGAGGGUGGAAGAAGACCGAGGGGAAGAUGUGAUAGAGAUCUUAAAUUUAAAAAUUAAAUUUAAAAAAAUUAGAACUUCUACCAAAGUUUAUUGAGAACAAACAGUAGGUUCAGUGAGAUGGUUGAGAAGUGAAGGUGCUUGCCACCAAGUCUGACACUCUGAAUUUAACCCCUCAAUGCCUGGAAUCCUCGUUAUGGAAGAAGAGAACUGGCUCUAGAAAGGUAUAUAUUUCCAGACUUCUACGUGUGCAUGCACACAGAAUAAAUAAAUAUCAUAAAACUUUUAAGGGAACA